Molecule: unclassified non-coding RNA, 347 nt
Filed under: Hevea brasiliensis (rubber tree)
Lineage: Eukaryota; Viridiplantae; Streptophyta; Magnoliopsida; Malpighiales; Euphorbiaceae
Source: RNAcentral
UUUGAUUUGUACAUAAACAAGAACAAUCUGGUUCACUCGACUCCCUCUUGACAAGCCUUUUGUCACGAUUAAUCAUUAGUCUUAUGAGAGGUAGCUUCUGCACAACUUCACGCCAUAUUUCAUUCACAGUUCCAUUUGAAUUGCCAUAUUCAAAAUAUCGUCUCACCUCUUUCAGCUCUUUCUGAUAUUCCAGAAUCCUCUCUGUGGUUACUUCUCUUAGCAUUUUAACUAAAUAUCCUGGCUUUAGAGAAGCUUUUGUUCCUAUAAAGAUUGCAAUCUUUGUGUAGUCUAUAACAUAUUCAAAAGGUAACUCAAUGCUAUCACUGACUAUUACUGGAACACACAAG